Molecule: ribosomal RNA, 158 nt
Filed under: Escherichia coli
Lineage: Bacteria; Pseudomonadati; Pseudomonadota; Gammaproteobacteria; Enterobacterales; Enterobacteriaceae
Description: partial 23S ribosomal RNA
Source: RNAcentral
GGGUUGUGAGGUUAAGCGACUAAGCGUACACGGUGGAUGCCCUGGCAGUCAGAGGCUGAUUGGAAGGACCGGUGCGUAAUCUGGACGAUAAGCGUCGGUAGGUGAUAUGAACCGUUAAUAACCGGCGAUUUCCGAAUGGGGAACCCAGUGUGUUCGUA